UGAGGAACCUGCCCCGAAGACCGGGAUAACCCUCCGAAAGGAGAGCUAAUACCGGAUGCCCUCUUCUGAUCGCAUGGUCGGAUGAGGAAAGGAUUCUGCUUCGGGAGGGCCUCGCGGCCUAUCAGCUAGUUGGUGAGGUAACGGCUCACCAAGGCUACGAUGGGUAGCUGGUCUGAGAGGACGAUCAGCCACACUGGGACUGAGACACGGCCCAGACUCCUACGGGAGCAG
RNAcentral lists this ribosomal RNA (231 nucleotides) under uncultured bacterium. Its description in RNAcentral is "partial 16S ribosomal RNA". It matches the Rfam family "Bacterial small subunit ribosomal RNA", at positions 118 to 347 of the family's 1533-position model. The record is from RNAcentral.